GGAGCCGUGGUGUAGCCAGGUUUCAACACACUGGCCUGUCAAGCCAGAGAGCGCGGGUUCAAAUCCCGUCGGCUCCG
Molecule: transfer RNA, 77 nt
Filed under: Thermodesulfitimonas autotrophica
Lineage: Bacteria; Bacillati; Bacillota; Clostridia; Thermoanaerobacterales; Thermoanaerobacteraceae
Rfam family: tRNA
About the family: Transfer RNA (tRNA) molecules are approximately 80 nucleotides in length. Their secondary structure includes four short double-helical elements and three loops (D, anti-codon, and T loops).
Source: Rfam by way of RNAcentral